Molecule: ribosomal RNA, 440 nt
Filed under: uncultured bacterium
Lineage: Bacteria
Description: partial 16S ribosomal RNA
Rfam family: Bacterial small subunit ribosomal RNA
Source: RNAcentral
CCUACGGGAGGCAGCAGUGGGGGAUAUUGCACAAUGGGGGAAACCCUGAUGCAGCGACGCCGCGUGGGUGAAGAAGCGCCUCGGCGCGUAAAGCCCUGUCAGCAGGGGAGAAAAUGACGGUACCUGAAGAAGAAGCCCCGGCUAACUACGUGCCAGCCGCCGCGGUAAUACGGAGGGGGCAAGCGUUAUCCGGAUUUACUGGGGGUAAAGGGGGCGCAGACGGCAAUGCAGGCCAGGAGUGAAAGCCCGGGGCCCAACCCCGGAACUGCUCUUGAAACUGCGUGGCUAGAGUGCAGGAGGGGCAGGCGGAAUGCCUGGUGUAGCGGUGAAAUGCGUAGAUAUCAGGAGGAACACCGGUGGCGAAGGCGGCCUGCUGGACUGCAACUGACGUUGAGGCACGAAAGCGUGGGGAGCAAACAGGAUUAGAUACCCCAGUAGUC